This 522-nucleotide long non-coding RNA is filed under the name Vigna radiata. RNAcentral describes it as "long non-coding RNA (VRAD_LNC003378)". Lineage: Eukaryota; Viridiplantae; Streptophyta; Magnoliopsida; Fabales; Fabaceae. The record is from RNAcentral.
AACAAAACAUGUAAUAGUAAUCAUAGAAAUGUUUAAAAGCAAAAUUAAUGUGAUAUUAAUAAAAUACUUAUACAGAAAUUGAAAAUUCAUACAUAAAGAUAUGGAUUCAUCAUAUGUAUAUUCCCUCAUCAUGAUCUGACCGAACUGCAUGUACAUCGUCGUCAACUAGAGAUUGGUCAUCCAAAUUUGUUGUAGUUUGAAAUGAAUGGUUGUCAGCAAUAUGAAUAUUAAUCAAAUUGUCUUUGUUAACUUCAAUCUGUUUUUUGCUUUGAAGAGCAACAUACCAAUGGUCAGACGCAGGAUCUUUGACAUAAAAAACCUGCGAUGCUUGAUGUACCAUGAUAAACGGUUCGUCUCGGUAACCCACCUUUCGAAAAUCAACCAGUGUCAUACCCGAUUAAUCUAGUUUCACACCACUCUUAUUGUCAAACCACUUACAUUUGAACAAUGGAACAAAAAACUUGGUGUAAUCAACCUCCCAUAUCUCUUCUAUUAUACCAUAAUAUCUCAUUGAUCCAAGUN